RNAcentral lists this unclassified non-coding RNA (294 nucleotides) under uncultured fungus. RNAcentral's name for it is "sequence contains ITS2". The stretch from base 1 to 52 matches the Rfam family "5.8S ribosomal RNA", at positions 103 to 154 of the family's 154-position model. The record is from RNAcentral. Lineage: Eukaryota; Fungi.
AACGCACCUUGCGCUCCUUGGUAUUCCGAGGAGCAUGCCUGUUCGAGUGUCAUGAAACUCUCAAACCGUCGUCUUUGUUGACGGCGGGCUUGGACUUGGACGUUGCUGGGCUUACGCUCGGCUCGUCUUAAAUGCAUUAGCUGACUCUCCCGACUUCAGUUUUCGGCGUGAUAAUCACAUCUACGUCGAUGCCGCGAGGCGCUGGACCGGGGAUCAAACGGCUUCUAACCGUCCGCGAGGACAAUCUUCAUCUCAUUUGGCCUCGAAUCAGGUAGGACUACCCGCUGAACUUAA